RNAcentral lists this ribosomal RNA (375 nucleotides) under uncultured eukaryote. Its description in RNAcentral is "partial 18S ribosomal RNA". It matches the Rfam family "Eukaryotic small subunit ribosomal RNA", at positions 592 to 976 of the family's 1831-position model. The record is from RNAcentral.
CAAUAGCGUAUAUUUAAGUUGUUGCAGUUAAAAAGCUCGUAGGUGGAUUUCGGUUAAGAGCGACCGGUCCGCCGUUUGGUGUGCACUGGUUGGUUUUAACUUCCUGUAGAGGACGUGCUCUGGGUUUAACGACCUGGACUCGGAGUCUACGUGGUUACUUUGAAAAAAUUAGAGUGUUCAAAGCGGGCUUACGCUUGAAUAUUUCAGCAUGGAAUAACACUAUAGGACUCCUGUCCUAUUUCGUUGGUCUCGGGACGGGAGUAAUGAUUAAGAGGAACAGUUGGGGGCAUUCGUAUUUCAUUGUCAGAGGUGAAAUUCUUGGAUUUAUGAAAGACGAACUUCUGCGAAAGCAUUUGCCAAGGAUGUUUUCAUUAA